This 325-nucleotide small nuclear RNA is filed under the name Jaculus jaculus (lesser Egyptian jerboa). RNAcentral describes it as "7SK RNA (ENSJJAG00000007644.1)". It matches the Rfam family "7SK RNA". From Rfam's summary of the family: 7SK was discovered as an abundant small nuclear RNA in the mid-70s but a possible function has only recently been suggested. The record is from Rfam by way of RNAcentral. Lineage: Eukaryota; Metazoa; Chordata; Mammalia; Rodentia; Dipodidae.
GGAUGUGAGGGCGAUCUGGCUGCGACAUCUGUUACCCCAUUGAUCGCCAGGGUUGAUUCAGCUGAUCUGGCUGGCUAGGCGGGUGUCCCCUUUCUCCCUCACCGCUCCAUGUGCGUCCCUCCCGAAGCUGCACGCUCGGUCGAAGAGGACGACCUUCCCCGAAUAGAGGAGGACCAGUCUUCGGUCAAGGGUAUACGAGUAGCUGCGCUCCCCUGCUAGAACCUCCAAACAAGCUCUCAAGAAUGAGAUUAGCAUGGAUCUAGAGAUGGCUUAGAGGUUAAGAUGCUUGCCUGUGAAGCAUAAGGACCCAGGUCUGAUUCUCCAG